This is a long non-coding RNA of Syngnathus acus (greater pipefish), 1301 nucleotides long. RefSeq lists it as uncharacterized. The record is from RefSeq and is a predicted model, not a curated record. Lineage: Eukaryota; Metazoa; Chordata; Actinopteri; Syngnathiformes; Syngnathidae. The transcript is spliced from 2 exons.
AUGUACUGGGAGAAGAAAACAUGAAAAGUCGAACUUGAGUGGUAAGUAAGUAAGUUGAAAGUUUGAGCAUUUUUUUGUUGUUGUUUUUUUUUACCUUAGAGGACAAAGAGCCCCUCUCCAUCUUUUCGAAUCCAAGUGCAAGCACACAGUCGGAAAGACCUAAAUCCACCUGCAGAAAGGCACAUGAUGCCAGAAGACAAGACGUUGAGGAAAAUACUCUUGCUUAACUCACCUCCUUGGAUCAGCUGCCGUGCCAUGUAGAGGGCAGUGGAGCCGGUGGAGCAAUUAUUAUUGACGUUAAUGAUGGGGAUGCCGGUCAGGCCCAGGCUGUGGUAAAUGGCCCUCUGACCACACGUGGAGUCGCCUAAGACACAAACGCCAAGGAGAGGAAAAGGUGCAUCAGAUGAACAUUUUUGGUAUAAGGUCAAGAAAAGCGGCACCAUUGAUUCCUGAUGGCUACAAAUGAUAUGCGUUACCAUAGACAUAUCCCACACAGGCUUGCUGGAUUGCAGAGUAUGGGAUUCCGGCAUCCGCAAGAGCCUUUUCACCUGCAAAAAAAAUAAAUUUCACAUGUAUUCUGAUAUUCUUGUGAAUGGCUAGGCAAUGUCCAAAUUCUGUUUGGAUAAGCACCCGCUUCCUUGGCCAUGUCAGGGUAGUCAUAGUCGCCUCGGGCUCCGGGCUUGUCAAACUGUAGCAAAAACAUACGUACGUGAAAAACACAAGCAUGUUUGAUUCUAUGAUUUAAUUAUGGAACAGAAUUUUGGUGCGACAACCUAGCCUACCCACAAAUAUGAAUCAUUUAUUUCACCCCCCCUUCUUAUUUAUGUAGCACAUUUCAUCCACAGCCAAAGUGCAACACCUAAAAUCAUUUACAAACCGCUAAAGCCAAAUCAAAGAAAAUAAAAGUUGCGAACUUAGAAUUAUAAAAAUAUAUAUUGACACUGAUUAAAUGCAUUUACAAACAGACGUUUGAAAGCAAACUGAAGAAAUAAAAAGCAGAUUAAAGAAACUCAUUUAAUUGUUAAAUGUAGCAAAAAUUACAAAACAAUAAGAUAAGCUGUAAGAAUUCAACCACAGGUAAUUCAGCCAUAAAAAGAUUGAGUUCACGCAAGACAAUCUUUGACUGCGUUUCAAAGGGAGGGCAGGGGUCAAAUGACCCUUUACACACAUUUUGCAUUGACAUGAACUAUGGACUGAGACAGUUACAUAACUAUCGAAUAGCAACAUCUAUUAAGACGAAAACUAAACUCGCAAAAGUUCAAACAGCAAUGACCACAAAAUAAAUAUGGAUCGGUAAGGGC